Molecule: transfer RNA, 47 nt
Filed under: Equus caballus (horse)
Lineage: Eukaryota; Metazoa; Chordata; Mammalia; Perissodactyla; Equidae
Description: partial transfer RNA-Pro
Source: RNAcentral
AACGUUUUCCCCCUUUUCUGGUUUACAAGACCAGGGUAAUGUGCGAC